This 577-nucleotide ribosomal RNA is filed under the name uncultured archaeon. Its description in RNAcentral is "bacterial SSU rRNA". It matches the Rfam family "Archaeal small subunit ribosomal RNA", at positions 273 to 856 of the family's 1478-position model. The record is from RNAcentral.
GUUGAGAGCAAGAGCCCGGAGAUGGAUUCUGAGACACGAAUCCAGGCCCUACGGGGCGCAGCAGGCGCGAAAACUUUACAAUGCGAGAAAUCGUGAUAAGGGAACCCCGAGCGCCCGUAAAUUCGGGCUGUCCGCCAGUGUAAAUAACUGGUGAAGAAAGGGCCGGGCAAGACCGGUGCCAGCCGCCGCGGUAAUACCGGCGGCUCGAGUGGUGGCCACUAUUACUGGGCUUAAAGCGUCCGUAGCCGGAUUGUUAAGUCUCUUGGGAAAUCCAUCGGCUCAACCGAUGGGCGUUCAGGAGAAACUGGCAAUCUAGGGACCGGGAGAGGUGAGAGGUACUCCAGGGGUAGGAGUGAAAUCCUGUAAUCCUUGGGGGACCACCUGUGGCGAAGGCGUCUCACUAGAACGGCUCCGACAGUGAGGGACGAAAACUGGGGGAGCAAACCGGAUUAGAUACCCGGGUAGUCCCAGCUGUAAACGAUGCGCGUUAGGUGUAUCGGUGACCACGAGUCAUCGAGGUGCCGAAGGGAAACCGUGAAACGUGCCGCCUGGGAAGUACGGUCGCAAGGCUGAAACU